Molecule: ribosomal RNA, 1446 nt
Filed under: uncultured bacterium
Lineage: Bacteria
Description: bacterial SSU rRNA
Rfam family: Bacterial small subunit ribosomal RNA
Source: RNAcentral
AGAGUUUGAUCAUGGCUCAGGAUGAACGCUGGCGGCGUGCUUAACACAUGCAAGUCGAACGAACCUUCGGGUUAGUGGCGGACGGGUGAGUAACGCGUGGGAACCUGCCCUCAGGAGGGGGAUAACGGCUGGAAACGGCCGCUAAUACCCCAUAUGCCGAGAGGUGAAAAGAAAUUCGCCUGAGGAUGGGCCCGCGUCUGAUUAGCUAGUUGGUGGGGUAAGAGCCUACCAAGGCGACGAUCAGUAGCUGGUCUGAGAGGAUGAUUAGCCACACUGGGACUGAGACACGGCCCAGACUCCUACGGGAGGCAGCAGUGGGGAAUUUUCCGCAAUGGGCGAAAGCCUGACGGAGCAACGCCGCGUGAGGGAUGAAGGCCUCUGGGCUGUAAACCUCUUUUCUCAAGGAAGAAGAACUGACGGUACUUGAGGAAUAAGCCACGGCUAAUUCCGUGCCAGCAGCCGCGGUAAUACGGGAGUGGCAAGCGUUAUCCGGAAUUAUUGGGCGUAAAGCGUCCGCAGGCGGCCUUGUAAGUCUGUCGUUAAAGCGUGGAGCUUAACUCCAUUUGAGCGAUGGAAACUACAAGGCUUGAGUGUGGUAGGGGCAGAGGGAAUUCCCGGUGUAGCGGUGAAAUGCGUAGAUAUCGGGAAGAACACCAGUGGCAAAGGCGCUCUGCUGGGCCAUAACUGACGCUCAUGGACGAAAGCCAGGGGAGCGAAAGGGAUUAGAUACCCCUGUAGUCCUGGCCGUAAACGAUGAACACUAGGUGUCGGGGGAAUCGACCCCCUCGGUGUCGUAGCCAACGCGUUAAGUGUUCCGCCUGGGGAGUACGCACGCAAGUGUGAAACUCAAAGGAAUUGACGGGGGCCCGCACAAGCGGUGGAGUAUGUGGUUUAAUUCGAUGCAACGCGAAGAACCUUACCAGGGUUUGACAUCCUGCGAACCUCUGAGAAAUCGGGGGGUGCCUUCGGGAACGCAGAGACAGGUGGUGCAUGGCUGUCGUCAGCUCGUGUCGUGAGAUGUUGGGUUAAGUCCCGCAACGAGCGCAACCCACGUCUUUAGUUGCCAGCAUUCAGUUGGGCACUCUAGAGAGACCGCCGGUGAUAAACCGGAGGAAGGUGUGGAUGACGUCAAGUCAUCAUGCCCCUUACAUCCUGGGCUACACACGUACUACAAUGCUACGGACAAAGGGCAGCAAGCUCGCGAGAGUAAGCAAAUCACAUAAACCGUGGCUCAGUUCAGAUCGUAGGCUGCAACUCGCCUACGUGAAGGAGGAAUCGCUAGUAAUCGCAGGUCAGCAUACUGCGGUGAAUACGUUCCCGGGCCUUGUACACACCGCCCGUCACACCAUGGAAGUUGGCCACGCCCGAAGUCGUUACUCCAACCCUUGUGGAGGAGGACGCCGAAGGUGGGGCUGAUGACUGGGGUGAAGUCGUAACAAGGUAACC